Molecule: non-coding RNA, 493 nt
Organism: Sus scrofa (pig)
Lineage: Eukaryota; Metazoa; Chordata; Mammalia; Artiodactyla; Suidae
Source: RefSeq, a predicted model, not a curated record
GGCUGAGGGACUCAUCUACAUAUAAAAAGCCUGAGGCCUGAAGUGGAAAUGGAGACGGUGUGGUGACACAAAGGCCGAACCUCCAGCAGCCAGAUUCGGAGUCAGAAUAAAAGAACGGGGACCACGCUGGGGCAGGCCAGCGCACCGCCUCGAUGCCCUCGUUCAAGGUCACCAGCUGCUGCAGGAUCUUCACGUCAAUGGCUCGCAGUUCCAGGCAUAGCUGAGACCCACUCUUGAGACCUUGAGACUGUGGUGCAAAAUGGAUUGUUUUUCAACUCUCCUCAUUGCUGGCUUGCAGUUCAGCUUUCGGCUUCCAAAAUGUUGUUCCUAUCAUCGUCUCUCCUGUUCUUAUCAUCAUGGCUUCUUGGAUUUGAAAGUAAUCCUUCUACUGGCUUUUCGUGGCGUUUCGGGUAGGAAUGGUGUAAUGCAUAUGUUCAAUGCGCCAUCUUGAACUGGCAAUCCUACUGGCUUUAUUCAAGGACCAACUCAAAUG